AAUAUAUUUGAGGAGUUGUUUUUCUUAACAUUAGCUCCUACAUAAAUGCUAAGUAAAUUCUAAAUCUAAAUUCUAUUCUUUGAUUGUAAAGUUGGUAUGUUUUGUUAUUGGGCUAGUAGUUUAAUAGAAUAGGUAUCCAAAAUAUAUGCUAUGAGAGAAAAUAAACAAUGUGAUAUUUCAAAAUGAUGAAAUGCCAUAUAAAGUAGGUAAGACUGCAAACAUCAACCCUUUCUGAGCACACAAGUGUGGGACUCUUUGUGCAUUGGAUCACCCUUUUGUUAGACUUUCACUGGCUGAAUUUAAUGGGAGACUUAUUUUAAUGUUAGGA
Molecule: unclassified non-coding RNA, 328 nt
Filed under: Hevea brasiliensis (rubber tree)
Lineage: Eukaryota; Viridiplantae; Streptophyta; Magnoliopsida; Malpighiales; Euphorbiaceae
Source: RNAcentral